GUAGAAUGGACUCUGUUGCUGUACCAGUAAAGCAGAUGCUCCAAGGGCAGCUGUAACAGCCCCAACCAUGACUGUGUCAUUGUUUGUAUUUUUCAAUUCAGCUUCUUCCCCCACUCUCCCCCUUGUAAUGUUCAUACCAAUAGUUUGAUCCAUUCCAGUAGUAAGCUGCUGAUCAGCCUCCUUAAUGCUGGACUUAUCUAGAUUUUCUUCCCUGGAUAUCUUUGUUUGGGCAUUCAAUGUCAGGUCAUUAUCAUACCUGGUACCUACAUUGAAAUAUUUUCUCAAAGCAGCUAAGCUAGAG
This 301-nucleotide unclassified non-coding RNA is filed under the name Hevea brasiliensis (rubber tree). Lineage: Eukaryota; Viridiplantae; Streptophyta; Magnoliopsida; Malpighiales; Euphorbiaceae. The record is from RNAcentral.